CACGUAUUUAGCCGGAGCUUCUUAGUCAGGUACCGUCACUUUCUUCCCUGCUGAUAGGGCUUUACAUACCGAAAUACUUCUCCACCCACGCGGCGUCGCUGCAUCAGGGUUUCCCCCAUUGUGCAAUAUUCCCCACUGCUGCCUCCCGUAGGAGUUUGGGCCGUGUCUCAGUCCCAAUGUGGCCGGUCACCCUCUCAGGUCGGCUACUGAUCGUCGGUUUGGUGGGCCGUUACCCCGCCAACUGCCUAAUCAGACGCGGGGCCAUCUCAUACCACCGGAGUUUUCACACUGUACCAUGCGGCACUGUGCGCUUAUGCGGCAUUAGCAGUCAUUUCUAACUGUUAUUCCCCUGUAUGAGGCAGGUUCCCCACGCGUUACUCACCCGUCCGCCGCUCAGUCACAUGGCUUUCCAUCCGAAAAUUUCAAAAUCAUGUGCUUCGCUCGACUUGCAUGUGUUAAGCACCGCCGCAGCGUUCAUCCUGACGCCAGGAUCUAAACC
This 499-nucleotide ribosomal RNA is filed under the name uncultured Lachnospiraceae bacterium. Its description in RNAcentral is "partial 16S ribosomal RNA". The record is from RNAcentral. Lineage: Bacteria; Bacillati; Bacillota; Clostridia; Lachnospirales; Lachnospiraceae.